CAUUGUGUAGAUAUUGAAAAGUUCCACUGUGUUGACUGUUGGUUUUUCUGAAUGCAAUAUUGACUGUUUGGCUUUUGUACAGGUACAUUAGUUGCUAGCUCUUGCUUGAGCUUUGCUUUGGAGUGUGGUUGUUACACCAUUGAGGUAAUUUAGCCCUCUUACUCCACGUAGUCUGGAAGUCCUGUCACCUUUUUGGCAGGCAUUUG
This 206-nucleotide long non-coding RNA is filed under the name Lathyrus oleraceus (garden pea). RNAcentral describes it as "Pisum sativum (pea) long non-coding RNA (PSAT_LNC019269)". Lineage: Eukaryota; Viridiplantae; Streptophyta; Magnoliopsida; Fabales; Fabaceae. The record is from RNAcentral.